UACGUAGGGUGCGAGCGUUGUUCGGAAUUACUGGGCGUAAAGGGCGCGUAGGCGGGCCUAUAAGUCGAUUGUGAAAGCCCCGGGCUUAACCUGGGAACAGCAGUCGAAACUGUAGGUCUUGGAUGCCUGAGAGGAUGGCGGAAUUCCCGGUGUAGAAGUGAAAUUCGUAGAUAUCGGGAAGAACACCUGAGGCGAAGGCGGCUGUCUGGCGGUGCAUCGACGCUGAGGCGCGAAAGCGUGGGGAGCAAACAGG
This 253-nucleotide ribosomal RNA is filed under the name uncultured bacterium. RNAcentral describes it as "partial 16S ribosomal RNA". It matches the Rfam family "Bacterial small subunit ribosomal RNA", at positions 524 to 776 of the family's 1533-position model. The record is from RNAcentral.